CCUGGACCUUCCACAGUCAGAGUCAUAACGCUUCAGCGCGCUGUGCUCCAGAGGCCCUGCGGCGGGAUGUGGAGCUGCCGACUGGCUCUGGCCCAAAACUGUGCGCUGGAGGGACUGCCUGAAGCCAAAACGGGGCAGGGCACCGCGCAUGCCCGGCGCAAAACUGCUGUACUCUACGGCCUUCCGGGAGCCCUCAGGCGGUCCAAACUGACCUGUUUGUCCGUGUCUCUGGCGAAGUGGAUUUCAUCCCCCUCACAGACUGACUCCGUUAUGGCUAUGGGAAUCGGUGUUGGGAGAACAGCUGGAGGCGUUGACAUAUGUUUUGUGUGGUAAGUACAGAGGCUGGGAGCCAUCCGCUGCUGCUUCUGAUAGGCAUCUCAGUAAGAUUAAGAUGAAUGGUGAUCAAAUCAUGGUCAGCGAACUCUGUCAGGGGGUGGAAAACCCAGCAGUCAGUUAAAUUUAAUGUGCCUUCAGGGUUUGGGAGAAUUGCUCCAGAGUGCUUUCCUUCUUUGAGCAAGGCUUUGGGGUGAAUCUUAAAGAGAUCAUUAACAUUCCUCCCUCCCUCAGACUUCCCUGGGUCUAAAACAUGUCACUGAGGUGUUUCCCUCUCUUUUGCCGCAAAAGUCAGAGUGGUCCGGUUCCAGCAGGUAUAACUUCACCCUUUUCCAAGUCGUUCCCUACACUCACUUGAAGAUCUUUCAUCUGGAGUGGUCAGUUCAGGGACAAGGAAAUUUUUAAAAAUUUACAGAGUUCCAUUAUGAUCUCACUUUGGCCCACUAUAGAGGGACUUGGCAAGCAGUGUACUUGACUAAGUAGUCAUUAUCCUUGGGAUCUAGGACUCUCUCAGUCAAACAAAGUAAUCUAGACGGCUGAAUCAAGAAUUAAAUUUGAAUGCUCUGGGCCUUCUUUUGGCCAGCCGGACACUUCUAGGGUGUUGUAGUUAAGGAAAGUAAAGAAGCAUCAUGUCCCACAAUAAACAGAUGAAGUCCUGAGUUUUUAAAAUGGAUCUGUAUAAUUUCCCACCCCUUGUGUUCUGAUCAUUAACCAGGAGGCAUUGGAGGUGGGUGAUCCCAUUCUGCGAAUAGACACAUAGAGUGACAAAACUUCCCUACUGAACAUGAGGAAAAUUUUGUCUUGGGGGAAAUAGCAUGGUUGUGAAAUUAAAAAAUUAUCAUUUUGCUAUUUGUUUGCUUUAGCCAAAUAGCCGAGGUAGGUUAUUCUAAAAUAAACUUGAUUUGGUCUUUUCCUGUUUUAUAUUGCCUUCAAUGAAAAAGAAAUUUUCAAACAUUGGUUUAAAACUCAAUUGCAUACUAUGGAAACAGUACAACAUCUACCAUAAAUAUAGAGGCUGUGUAUUAUACUAAAAAGAAUAUUGAGCCUGUUUAUAGCCAUGUCUUAGAAAAUUCUAUUUGCUUCUCUGUAUAUGUUUCCCUAUUUGUAAAAGGGAAUGGACCAGCUGGUCAUUAACACUUCUUAAGCUCUAACUGCUGAUAAUUUUGAUUAGCCCCUGGAGUGUUUGGCUGGAUUUAUAUUUGCUUCCCCUUAACAAAUAUAAAUAAUUUAUAAAUAAUUGGGAGGUUCAUCUAUUCAAAUUAUUUGGCUAGAAAUAUCUCUGUUAUGUUUUGUACCCAACCAUUUCCAUUAUUCCUGUGUCUUCCAUGGUUCCUGCUCAUAAUGGUGAGACAAUAUCAUGGUAUAUUUUUUCCAACUUUAUUGAGAUAUAAUUGACAUAUAACAUUAUGUAAGUCUAAGGUGUACAAUGUGGUGAUUUGAUACACAUAUAUAUUCUGAAAUGAUUACCACAAUAAGGUUAGUUAAUGCAUCUAUCACCUCACAUAAUUACCUUUUCUUCUUUUUUUUGGUGAGAGCAUUUAAGAUCUACUCUCUUUGAAAAUUUCUAGUAUAUAGUACAGUAUUGUUAACUAUAGCCACCAUGCUGUGCAUUAGAUCCCCAGAACUAUUUCAUCGUAUAACUGGAAGUUUGUACCCUUUGACCAACAUCUCUCCAUGUCUCCAUCCCCCAGCCCCUGGCAACUACCAUUCUGUUCUCUGUUUCUAUGAGUUCAGCUUUUAUAGAUUCCACAUAUAAGUGAGAUCAUACAUAUUUGUCUUUUUCUAUCUGAAUUAUUUCACUUAGGAUAACGCCCUCAAGGUCCAUCCUUGAUGUUACAAAUGGCAGGAUUUCCUGCUGUUUUAUGGCUGAAUAAUAUUCCAUUGUGUAUAUAUACCACAUUUUCUUUCCAUUCAUUCAUUGAUGAACAUUUAGGUUGUUUCCAUGUCUUGGCUAUUUUGAACAAUGCUGCAGUGAAUAUGGAGGUACACAUAUCUCUUCAAGAUAGUGAUUUUGUUUUCUUUGGAUAUAUACCCGGAAGUAGAAUUGCUGUAUCAUAUGGUAUCUCUGUUUUUAAUUUUUUUUUUUUUUUGAGGAAGAUUAGCCAUGAGCUAACUACUGCCAAUCCUCCUCUUUUUGCUGAGGAAGACUGGUCCUGAGCUAACAUUCGUGCCCAUCUUCCUCUACUUUAUACCUGGGAUGCCUACCACAGCAUGGCUUUUUGCCAAGCAGUGCCCUGUCUGCACCCAGGAUCUGAACCAGCGAACCCUGGGCCACCAAGAAGCGGCAUGUGUGCACUUAACUGCUGCGCCACCUGGCUGGCCCUCUGUUUUUAAUUUUUUGAGGAACUUCCAUACUGUUUUUUCUAGUGGUUGAACAAAUUACAUGCCGUCCAACAGUGCACGAUGGUUCUGUUUUCUCCCCGUAUCCUUGCCAACUCUUGUUAUCUCUUGUCUUUUUGUUAAUAGCCAUUCUAACAAGUGUGAAGUAAUAGCUCUUUGUGGUUUGGAUUUGCAUUUCCCUGAUGAUCAGUGAUGUUGGGCACCUUUAUGUGUACCUGAUGGCCAUUUGUAUGUCUUCUUUGGAAAAAUGUCUAGGCAGAUCUUCUGCUUAUUUUUUAAUCCUAUUGAGUUUUUUGCUAUUGAGUUGUAUGAGUUCCUUAUAUAUUUUGGAUAUUAACUUCUUAUCAGAUAUAAAGUUUUCAAGUAUUUUCUCCCAUUGCAUAAGUUGUUUAAUUUUGUUAAUUGUUUCUUUUGCUGUGCAGCUUUUUAGUUUGAUAUACUCUCACUCAUUUAUUUGUUGUUGUUGUUGUUGCUUGUGCUUUUGGUGUCAUAUCCAAAAAAUUGUUGCCAAGACCAGUCAAGGAGCUUUUUCCCUAUGUUUUAUUCUAGGAAUGUUACUGUUUCAACUCUUACAUUUAAGUCUUUAGUCUAUUUUGAGUUAAUUUUUCUAAGUAAUAUAAGAUAGGGGUCCAUUUCACACUUUUGCAUGUGGUUAUCUAGUUUUUCCAACACCAUUUAUUGAAGAAACUAUCCUUUCCCAUUGCAUAUUCUUGGAUUCCUUGUCAAAUAUUAGUUGGCAUAUUGAUGAAUUACUUAAUAAAUAUAAACCAAUCCUUCUACUAAAGUAGGUAAGGAACAAAUGGGAAAGAUUCAACGGGGAGAAAAUAUGGCAAAGAGAAUAGUAAAAGUAAAUUUUCUUUGUUUUCUGUGAGUACAAAGAAUCUAUCUUCUCCAUUGUACCCCCAUCCAUUCUUCUAAAAACUUAGUCAUAGUACUUCUAAUUGGAGGCUUAUCCAACAUUAAUUCUAAACUUCUUAAUAUAAUAUUUAACUUUUUUUAUGAUUUGGUCUCAAUCUGCCAUGCCAGUUGAAACUUCGAGUUUCACAUAUCUUCACAUACCUUGUAUUCAGAAACCUCAAAUUAGCAUUCCAACAGGGUCAGGAAAUAAUGGCAUAAGUGAAGCGUGCCAGGUUUGUGUCAUAAUGGUGAUCCAAGUGCAUAUUAAAACCAAAUAAAGAGAUGUAUUCUUCAUUUCCCUAAAGUAAUAUUUCUUCUAUUUUAUCUUAUUUAUGUUUCCAUAAUAGAUACAAUAUGUACUUCAACUUUUUUCUUAACUUCAGUAUUUGAAAAAGAAAAGAAAAAAGAUCAUCACAAGGUUGAUGAGAAAUGAUGAUUCCAAGCUUCAUUGUUGAGGAGACAAAAGGGAAUAUUGGAGACUGUGGUAAACAUCAGAAUGAAUGCUUUAUAUAAGAGAUACGUGUGCUGCUGGAAUCUAAACAGUUUUUGUUAUGAGAUAAUGUAGAUCUGGUGUUAUAGCAUCUUCCAAACUUUAGGAAUAUAUGGGGAUUUAACUGGGGGUGGGAAUGGUGGUCAUAUUGUCUUCAGCACUUAAAGUAGUAAAACAAAAAAGCAUGCCCUCACCGAGUUCACAGUCUACUGGGGAAAGUGCCAGCAAUAUACAUACUAAAUGAGUGAAUUAUAUAAUAUUUUUAAAUAUGAUGACUGCUAUGGAGAAAGAAUAAGGCAUAGUAAAGGAGAUAGGGAAUAAUGGGUGAGAUUGCAAUUUUAAAUAGAGUAGUCAGUAUGUUACGAUUUGAAGGAGAUGAAGGAACAAGUCAUGCUGGUAUCGGAGGACAAGAACUGCAGGCAGAAGAAGCUAUUAGUGUAAAAGAUGGCGUGUUGAAGGAAGGGCAAGAAAGCCAAAGUGGCUACAGCAAAGUGAGAGAGGUAGGCAAUGAGGUCAGAGAGGUAAGGCUAUGGUGUGGGCAGUUCUUGAAGGUUCCUAUACAGAAUUGUAAGGAAUUUGAUUUGUUUCUGAAUGAAAUAGGGAACUGUUGAAGAGUGUAAUUUUUUUUUUCCAUGUGGAAUCUCAAGCUUUUAAAGACUGGGGACUAUUUACUUUUUUUCUUCAAUCUGAACAUGUCAAUCUGUGGCUAUGUGCAGCCAGACUCAUGUGGCAGGCAGCCAGUUUGCGAGUUCUGCUACUGAAAUGUUUUUUGUUGUCUCAUCCUUUCAUGAUCACGUCUUGCAUUUGAAAUAUUCUUUGUCUUGCAUUUAAAAUAUUUCCCCUCAAUAUCUUAAACUGAAUUGUUCCAUAACCUAUUUCUAUUUCUCAGUUAACUUAGAGGAUUCCCCAGUCCUACUUACUGUUCCCUGUCUCAUUUUUGCUUCCUGCCAUUUCAUGCAUCCUGGGCUCAGCUUUGCUCUUCUGUGUGAUUUGGCUCCUAAUUAGACUGCUAGCACUGUCCUUUACCCUGCUUCUUACAGUUAAUGUUGAGUGGAACAUGCUCGUUGAUAUGUAACAAAUCUGUACCACUGUCAGAAUGAGCAUCUUCUCCUGACACUUCUCGGCCUUCUGAUUCCUCCCGUUAUGAAUGUUGACUCUUCAAUCAACUUCUUACAGGUUUGGCGCUGUUAUGAGAAGGGAAGCAAAUUAAUCCACCCUGUUCCAUUAAAAACCUCCACUGACCAAAAGAGAACUUGUUGAAAUACUUUUAAAGAGAGGGCAGUAAAGGUAGCUUUGGAAUAGUUCAUUGUUAUCAGCAAUGUUAUAUUCUUUUUCAGUUUACAGAACUUUGCCUGUAAAAAAUGGAACAGCUACACAUUUGGAUGGGACACCUUUAUAAGUAAUGAGAUCUUAGAAUUUAAAUGAGAGAGACAUUUAAGCACUCCUCCUUCUAAAUUUUCAAGUUAAAUGGUCAAGAGUCAUCACAUAUAUAGCUCUACUUAAGGCAAUCGACUUGCCCCAGGCCAUCAGAACCAGCGCUAGAGUCUUUGAAUUUUGCUAAUAAUUCAUUUUGCUGCUGCUAAGACAAUACCUCAUUCUCAACUAAUGUGAAUAAAUUACUACUUUCCAACUUCAUUUGAAAAGGAAUUAGAUUAAGUGAAACAGUUUAUAUUGAGUGUUUGCUAAAUAAGACAUUUUGAAAUAGAUGGUAUUUCGAAGAUAAAACAACAAUGGAUUUCACCUUUGUGGAAAUGAGAUCCUAACCAUUUUGAUAAGAACUAUAGUCUAAAGGAAAUCCUGAGUCAACAUAAAGCAGUAGGGUUUUUUUUCCCUAUAGAGGUGAAACCACAUAGCAGAUGAAUGGCAUAUUGUGUAAAGUACGAAUUAAAGAAAGAAUAUAAUGGAGAACUUUUAGUAAAGUUUCAAUUUUAGUAAAAUAGAAAAUUUUUUGCAGGAUCUUUAAAUUAAUUCCUUGGAGGAUUAUUUCUUUCUGAACAUGUCUUUCUGAACAUUAUUCUCUAUGAUAUAAGAACAGUAGAUGUUCUGGAUCAUUCACUUUGGAAUCAAGAAAGAUUUUAUGGAAAUCCAGAAAUUAUUUUGUUAAAAAAUAACAGCAAGGUAUCAUAAUAAAAUGCAUUCAGCAGAUUAAAUAUGAGGAAACAGAAAUUUUUAAAAAUAUACAAAUAUUCUGAAAUGCUUUCAACAUUAGUUUUGGGUGAUUUCUUUUGUGAUUAUUCAAAUUGUUAGCAGUUACUCUGUUUUAUUAUUGCUGUUUGUUUUCAUACACAUAGACUAAAAGGUUUACACUUAAACGAGAAGAUGCCUACUUCAAUCACUUAUGUCACACUAAGCAAAACCACAAAAUUUGAGUUUAUGCUAACGUGGAGAAUUUAAUGAAUGCAAAAACUAACCCCAGUAACAAGAAAUCAGAUUAUUACUCUCAAGAAAUAAUGCUAGGUGAAUUUUCAGCAUGAGAAGUUAUUUUUCAGGAAAAAGCAAUCUGAUUGAAUUCGUAUAGCUGUUCAGAUCACAAGGACUGCUUUUACUGCUAUUACUGUUUGGUCCUCAUCUUGGAGUGACAUUGUCCCCUUCUCUAGCUUUGAUCUUAACAAAGAGAAAAAAGAUAUUUUGGUGAAAAUGUUUGGAAACUUGUUGACACUUCUUAUGGGUAUCUUUCCUGUUUUGUUUUUUGUUUUCCUAACCAUGUCCUUAUUUGUCAUUCAUUUAUAUAUGAUAACAUUGAUUCGUUAACUUAUUCAUUCCACAGAUUCCACAUAUAUCUCAUUUGUGAAGUGGGAACUUAAUGUACCUGGAUCAAGACUUUAAGAACAUUUCAAGCACAAGAUAGUGCAAACUCAUGAUUUAUUCUUGUCUUUAAAAGUACACACACUUUUAUGAUUAAUUUUGGCAGCCUUAACUGUUCUUGUUAAAGACUUUCUAAAUUCACCCAAAUAUCUGGAGUUAUACUAUCCAGUGAUCAAGCACUUUCAUGUGUUGAAGCUCCAGCUUUCUUAGAAUACCUUGAUAAACAUGAAGUAAUUUAUGAAAUACUUACUAAUUGCAAAGCACUGUGUUAGAUACGGAGAAAUGCAUUCCCUGCCUAUGGUAUUCAAUUGCUUUAAAUAUAUAAAUUCAUCUAAUCGCCACAGCGAUCUUAUUAAUUUGUAAUUGUAUUAAAGCCUUUCAGAUGAGGAGAUUUCAGUAUGGGGUUGUUAAAUGAUUUGAUCAAGGACACAAUGCUACUAAGGACAAGAGUCUGGCCAUUUCCAUCAUCCUACUCAAUCCUCAAGCAGAGUACUCAAUUUGAUUUUUUUCUUUAAUGAAUAAAUGCCAUAUCUUAUUGUGAAGACAAAAUUCUUAGUUUGAUAUUAAAAUUGUAUUAAUUACAAAUCAGUAAUUUCAUGUCAAUUUAAAACUAGCAAAUGCAGGUACUCUAUUUGAAAUUUAAAAAAAAUACAAGAUAUUAUUUUCUUUUGCAAGGUAUGAAAGACUAAUAGUUUCUGUGAAAUUAUCGUUCUUUUUAAUAUAUGGUAUACUUUUGCUAUAAAAAUACAUUUCAUCUAAGCCUGGCAUGAGGCUGUUUAGAAAAUAUGUUUAUGUUUAUGCACAGGACUUUUUGAGCAAAACUUGCUGAAAUUUCAGACCUAGGCUAAAAGACAAGCCUAAGAAGUUAAUUUAUAACUCAUUAGCUAGUAAAAAAGAUAGAGAGAUUUACUUCUUCAGAAAUAUGUGUUUGUAUUUCAAAGGGGCAUGUGACGUGGGAAAGGGAGACAUUCCCUGGCUUGUAAAGUUGGAGACUGGUCUUCUAUCUCUCCUAAAGAGAUUCAUUUGUAUUCCAAAGAGUGAGGACCCAGCAUCCUUCCCCUUACGUUUCCACAAAGACUCUCUCUGAAGGGAAUGGGGGACUUUCCUAUAUAAAUUUCUAGAUUUAUCUUUUUGUGGUCUCUUUCCUAUAUAAAGUCUAGAUUUUUUUUCCUUGGUCCUUCACCUACAAUACAGACCCUGUGAUAUCUGGUUUUCAUUUGCCAUUCCAGUGGUAAAAAUCGGGGCACAGAGGAAUCACGCUUAUUAUUUUCUCUAAGUAAAUGAUGAUAAUCUGCUCUGCCCGGAAACUUUUGUGCAUAUAUUGAAGAUGAUAAUAAUAAAUAUAGAUAUUAAAAAUCUAACACCUAGUGUGAAAACUAUUCUGUACAUUAAAAUUAGAAGUCACAGUGUUGAAACACAACGUUAUUGCUUAGUAGUUCAUUUAUUUUGCACAGUUUUGUUUUUAAACUUCCUUGAACUUUAGUUGCUGUGUAAGAUGGUCAUUUUUACAGUGCCAUUGCAAGGUUAAAUGAAAGGACAUUUGUUAAAAAUUGUGAUUUCUCAAGAACUAUAUAGAGAAAAGGAAAGAUGAUGAUGAUGAUGAUGGUGAUGAUGACAUGAUAUUGAUACCAAUGAUGAUAGAUAAUGAUAUUGAUGAUGAUAGAUAGUAAUUUGAAAUUAUUUGGUAAAAUAUCUCCAAAGGUCUUAGGGUCAAAUAAAAUAUUUGAUAUUGGCUCUCUUUUUCCUCUUAUCCUUCUUGCAAAAUCCAAGUUAUUGAAGUUAGAUUAGUGCACAUGCAAAACUGCUAAAUUAUUGCUGAGCAAAAGGCCUGGACAUGGUAAGCAAUCUAGAAAUGGUUUAGUAUGUUGUCUAUCAUGAUGUGAUGAAUAUAUAAGACAGGAAGAAAAAGAAUCAUAACUGUUUGCAGAUGAUAUUUGAAGAUAAGGUAGGUGAGCAGAGAGUCAUGAGAAGUCAGUCCCAGGUGCCUGGUACUUGAGAAAAGCCUCAUUUGGGGAGUAUGGAGCAGAUUGCUACAAUUCCAGUCACUUCUAAAGGAACUUUGUUAGAAAUAUUUGGUUUGGCAUAUUGAUGGUUUCAAUAGUGAGUAUAUUUUAUGAUGACUAAUAAACAUAAGCAAAUGAAUUUAAUUGCAACUGAGAAGAUGUAUAAAUAUAGAAUGUGUGUGAAGAAGUAAAACAAUAACCCUAAUAAUUUGAGAGGAGAAUAAAAUUGCCUCCAUCUUGUAGGCAUUUCAUAGACAGAUGCGUUUAUUUUUCUUUUGCUGUGUUUUGUAUUUUGCUUGAUUUAUAUUAUUUCUCCAUUUUACUUUCAUUGUAAUUCUCAUGUCUAAGGGAGGAUAGUACCCCAGGAAGCAAUUCGUGCAAAAUGAAAGAGAAUUCAGGUUAUUUAAUCUGAAAUACAAAUGGUAAAUUUCAAGAGUGGAAGAAAAAGUUACACUAAUAUCUUUAAACAUAUCCACCUCCCUAUGCACACAGACUGACAAUCAGAAACACACAGGACUAAUGCUUUAAAAAUUCACUGUGAGACCCUUUUUUGUUUAUCUGUUGAAAAGCAAAGAAAAUGUCUAUGAGGGCUUUUUCGAUUUAUGUCAUAGGAUGAAUAAAUUAUAUCAUAGGAUCUGCAAAUAAGAGAAAGGAGAGACCACGAAGGCACUGGGUAUGUCAAGAAAGUCCAUCUGGGAAUGCUGGGAAGAGAAUGGGAAAUGUGAGGAUUGAAGCUCAAGUCCGCUUACAUUUCAUAUAUAUCUAGGUACUGCCUAAUAUUUUCUGCAGUUCAUAAAGCUACAAAUUGGAUUAUACCUAUUAGGCAUAGAAUAAAAUCCUAAGAUUAUGUGCUUUGGUUUUCUCUUUUUAAGAAAAUAUUCCAGGGGCCAGCCUGGUUGCAUAGUGGUGAAGUUCUCACAUUCUGCUUCAGUGGCCGAGGCUUCGCUGGUUCGGUUGCAGACAUAUGUACUGCUUGUCAAGCCAUGCUGUGGCAGACGUCCCACAUAUAAAGUAGAGGAAGAUGGGCACAGAUGUUAGCUCAGGGCCCGUCCUCCUCAGCAAAAAGAGGAGGGGUAGUGGCAGUUGUUACCUCAGGGUCCAUCUUCCUCAAAAAAAGAAAAAAGAAAACAUUCCAGAGAAAUGUAUGUUAACUUUUGGUCUACUGAAAUGGAAUACUUGUCCACAAAAACAUUCCAUAAUAAUUUCCCUUGAAACUGAGAUACUUCACAUUGAUUGCCAACUUCACUCAUGCUGAAAUCAGCCAAAAGACCUCCUAAAUCACCAACAGAUGUUUGCAUACUAAAAGCCAGUGGAAAACUUUAUUUCUUUCCUUUUCCUUCCUUUAUUUGGCUGAAAUUUCCACAUCCUAAAGUAUCCCAAUAUCCGGGGCAUGUAGGCUGGAAAGCCACAGAGUUUUCUCAUCCCUGCAUUUUUACUUAUUUCAAGUGCGUAAUAGGAUAGCAUCAUCAAGGUCUAAUUGUCCUCUGGAUGUGGUCUAAAGAGACUCACAUAGAUCCCAAAGGCACAGCACUUUUACUUUAGGUGCAGAAAGUAGCUUAUAUUAAUUGCUAUAGAUUUAAUCAGUGUUCAGAAUUGUGUUCUGAAAAUUUUAAGAAACAGUGGUAUCACGAAUUAUGUUAGGUACAGGCAAGUGUUUUACACGAACAAGCUUGGAUCACUUGUAGCUCCCUAGACCAAAAAAUAAUGUAAUCAUAAACCUGUUUGUCCAGUGACUCCUACUGCUGGCAAUCCUGAAUUAGAUGUGGCAUAGGUAAACCAACAAAGUCUAUCAGCUCAGAGAAAUCGUGCCAGUACAUAGAAUGUUCAUCUACUCAAAGCGGUGACACAUUUGGGACAAAGUCCUCACAACCUAAACUUGCAGUCCUGACUAUACCAUUAAGAUUCUCAGUCUUGUUUGCCAGAUGCUUAGGUACUUUUUAUCAGUGUGUAGCUUCUCUUGAUUCUUACACUGUGUGUUACAUGGUGCUUUAGCGAUUUCAGUAUCUUAUUCCAAAAAGCUGAUUUCAAAAUAUUCUGAGAGCUAUUUCAUGAUAUCAUGGUAUAUAUCAUGAUAUAUGAUUAAGAACAAUUGAGCAACGUAUGCUUGAGUGCAAUUAUGCUUAUAUAGUAAUCAUAAUAAGUGGGGAACCAUAUAUGGAAUGAGUGCUAUCUGUCAUACAAUGGAUAUAUUAUUGUCUUAGUCUGUUCUGGCUGCUAUUAACAAACUAUCAUAGACAAGGUUGCUUCUAAUUAAUAAAAAUUGCCUUGAACAAUAGCUUCUGGCUUUAGUUAAGAUGGCUGACUAAUCUCCUUAUCAAAUGGUUAUUUACCCACACCCUCAUUUUUCAUCUUUUAUUGUAUGAAUAGGCUGAGAAUUUUCCAAAUCUUUAAUUUCUGCUUUUUCUUGAUUAACAAUUCCAUCUUUAAGUCAUUUUUCUCCUCACAUUUUACUGUAAGCAGUCAGGAGGAAGCAGGCUGUUCCUUCAACACUUUGCUUAGAAAUUCCUUAGCUAAAUAUCCAAUUUCAUUGCUCGCAAGUUCCACCUUCCACAAAACACUGGAACAUGACAAUUCAUCCAAAUUCUUUGUCACUUUAUAACAAGGAUGACCUUUCUUCCGUUGUCCAAUAACGUGUUCCUCAUUUUCACCUGAGACCUCAUCAAAAUGGCCUUUACCGUCUAUGUUCCUACCAACAUUAUGUUCAGGAUGACUUAGUUAUUCUCUAAGAAGACUGAAGCUUUCUCUAUGGCUCUCCUGUUUAAGAGCUUUCACCAGAAUUACUCUGAAGGGUCCAUUAAUGGUAGUGUAGGCUUUUUCUAGGUGCACCUCCAAACUCUUCUGGCCUCUACCCAUUACCCAGUUCUGAGGCUACUUCUGCAUUUUUAAGUAUUUGUUAGAGUAGCACCCCACUUCUGGUAUCAACUUCUGUCUUAGUCUAUUUGGGAAGUUAUAACAAACUACCAUAGACUGGGUGACUUAUAAACAACAAAAUUUUAUUUUUCACAGAUCCAGAGGCUAGGAAAUUCAAGGCACUGGCAUGUUCAUGUUUGGUGAAAGUCCGCUUCCUGGUUCUUCACAUGGUGGAAGAGAUAAAGGAGCUCUCUGGAGCCUCUAUUAUAAGGGCCCUAAUCUCAUUGGUGACCUGGUGAGAAGUGGAUGAACUCUGCAUGUGCAAGGAUGCUUAUACAUUCCUUUUGGCUAAAACGUAAAUCUUUUAAUGAGAGGAGUGAAAUUUUCUCUUUCUACUGGAUUGUUUUCCUUUGGAAAGAUUGGAGGUACUUUUUUUGCUGAGGAAAUCCUCAGUUCAAGAGGAAUGCAUGGCAGCAGGAUUAGAGGUAAGAGAGGGAAAGAGGAGAACUGGCCUCUUCAGACUGUUCUAGUCUUUGAAUAAAAUUUAAGUGAUAAAAAAGUUUACAAGUUUUGCUAUCUUGAAGAUCCAGGCAUUAUUCAAAUUAUUUUACAAGGGUAGAAAAGUAGUUUCUAGGAGAAGCCAAAGAUAGGAAUAAACAGGGCUCAUUUUCCUUAAAUAGCAUACUAAGUAUUUAGGGUAUUAGGAUUAGUAACAAUCCUAAAAUCAAGACAAUUGGUUUCCAACCUGCCUCUACAUUAAAAUCACUAAGUGAGGUUCUUAAAAUACUGAUGCCUGAGCCCCACCAGACCGAGUGAAGCCAAUCCCCUGGGAGUGGGGCCUGUUCAUCUAUGGUUUUUAGACAUUCCCCAAGAGAUUGAAACCACUACACCACAAAAUAUGCACAAAGAUUUAAAUACCCCCCCACGCAACAAAAAUAAAGUCUAACAAUCCUGUAAACGUGCACUUCCACCACUAGUGGACACAAUGCAAAGUAAAUGGACCAUUGGUAGAGGGCAGGACUUUGCGUGUGUAUAUGUGUGUGGUUCAAGACCAAAGCACAUUGAUACUUUAAAGAGGUUUAUCACUGUUGUAACACAAAUGUCAAGGCACUUCUGUAUUUAUUAGAAAAAGAAACAAAACAAUGAAGCCAUUUCUGUGAAUUUCACUUAAAGAAUUUUAAAAAGCAAAGAAAGGUGCUUCUCACUUGGAAAGAGGCUCAUUUAUUCUAUUUAAAUGUCAGAGCAAAACAUCUAAUGGUGUUGAAUGGGCCUAAAUUGUUCUUUGAAUUAACUAUGUCCAUGAAACAGUGCUUUAAUACAUAAAAUCUAAGGAGAAAUUUUCUUUAUUCUUCAUAUGUAGUACUACCUGCUUAAAUACUUAGAAAGUCAAAAUGUGAGGAAAACAAUUUAAUGAAACAAGCUAGCAAGAAAUUCAGAAAUUUACUCUGAUCUCUGCAACCAGUAUAUAAGAGAUGAUAGAAUUUUCUUACAUAAAUGGUAAACCAAAAAAGAAAUCAAGUUUUUUUUUUCCUGUGGGCUAUAAUUUAAAACAGCAUGUGCUUUUUGAUAGAACUUCUUAAUCUAAACUACCCCAAAAGAAGGAGAUAAAGAUUUUUGUCAGCCCAUUGAUGCUGUGUGAUCUACCCCAGUAGUCUUUGAGAGAUUUUGUAAAGAACUACAGCUUUCUUGCCCAGCAGCAGGAUUUUCUAAAGCUGCAUCAUUUCCUAUUUAGACUUUGGAAAAUAUUGUUUCAGUGUACUGUGGGACCAGACAAUUUUAAGAGAUUACAUAGCUUGGAAUCUAAAACGGGACAAUAAAUUACCCUUUUCAGUCCUUAAAAAUAUUUACUAACAAUAUGAAAAUUAAAUGUCUUUAUGAAACAAAGCUGCAAAACUGUCGCCAUUCUCAUUUAUAUCCUGAUGUACGAUUAAGAAAAGUUCACUUUAUUCUGAAUAUUUCCAUCAAAAAUAUUUCUCUGAAAAUUCUUUCUGAAAGUUCAGAUUCAUUGAACUGUGAAGCUGAAGAAUAAAUUUGAAUGAUGUUUAAUUCAUG
Molecule: long non-coding RNA, 13770 nt
Organism: Equus caballus (horse)
Lineage: Eukaryota; Metazoa; Chordata; Mammalia; Perissodactyla; Equidae
Source: Ensembl